AACGUACGCUGGCGGCACGCCUAACACAUGCAAGUCGAACGAAGUAGCAAUACUUAGUGGCAGACGGGUGAGUAACAUGUAGGUAUCUGCCCUUUGGCCUGGAAUAACACGAGGAAACUUGUGCUAAUACCGGAUAAGUCUUUACGGAGAAAGCUUUAUGCACCAUUGGAUGAGCCUGCACUUGAUUAGUUUGUUGGUGGGGUAAUGGCCUACCAAGACUGUGAUCAAUAGCUGAUUUGAGAGGAUGAUCAGCCACAUUGGGACUGAGACACGGCCCAAACUCCUACGGGAGGCAGCAGUGGGGAAUCUUGCACAAUGGAGGAAACUCUGAUGCAGCGAUGCCGCGUGAGUGAAGAAGGCCCUUGGGUUGUAAAGCUCUUUCGUCGGGGAAGAAAAUGACUGUACCCGAAUAAGAAGGUCCGGCUAACUUCGUGCCAGCAGCCGCGGUAAUACGAAGGGACCUAGCGUAGUUCGGAAUUACUGGGCUUAAAGAGUUCGUAGGUGGUUGAAAAAGUUAGUGGUGAAAUCCCAGAGCUUAACUCUGGAACUGCCAUUAAAACUUUUCAGCUAGAGUAUGAUAGAGGAAAGCAGAAUUUCUAGUGUAGAGGUGAAAUUCGUAGAUAUUAGAAAGAAUACCAAUUGCGAAGGCAGCUUUCUGGAUCAUUACUGACACUGAGGAACGAAAGCAUGGGUAGCGAAGAGGAUUAGAUACCCUCGUAGUCCAUGCCGUAAACGAUGUGUGUUAGACGUUGGAAAUUUAUUUUCAGUGUCGCAGGGAAACCGAUAAACACACCGCCUGGGGAGUACGACCGCAAGGUUAAAACUCAAAUGAAUUGACGGGGACCCGCACAAGUAGUGGAGCAUGUGGUUUAAUUCGAAGAUACGCGCAGAACCUUACCAACACUUGACAUGUUCGUCGCGACUCUAAGAGAUUAGAGUUUUCGGUUCGGCCGGACGAAACACAGGUGCUGCAUGGCUGUCGUCAGUUCGUGUCGUGAGAUGUUGGGUUAAGUCCCGCAACGAGCGCAACCCUCACUUUUAGUUGCCAUCAUUAAGUUGGGCACUCUGAAAGAACUGCCAGUGAUAAGCUGGAGGAAGGUGGGGAUGACGUCAAGUCCUCAUGGCCCUUACGUGUUGGGCUACACACGUGCUACAAUGGUAUCUACAACAGGAAGCAAGACUGCGAAGUUAAGCAAAUCCCUAAAAGAUUCCUCAGUUCGGAUUGCACUCUGCAACUCGAGUGCAUGAAGCUGGAAUUACUAGUAAUCGUGGAUCAGCGUGCCACGGUGAAUGCGUUCCCGGGUCU
RNAcentral lists this ribosomal RNA (1306 nucleotides) under uncultured bacterium. RNAcentral's name for it is "bacterial SSU rRNA". It matches the Rfam family "Bacterial small subunit ribosomal RNA", at positions 28 to 1381 of the family's 1533-position model. The record is from RNAcentral.